UCUCCGUAGGUGAACCUGCGGAGGGAUCAUUACAAGUGACCCCGGUCUUACCACCGGGAUGUUCAUAACCCUUUGUUGUCCGACUCUGUUGCCUCCGGGGCGACCCUGCCUUCGGGCGGGGGCUCCGGGUGGACACUUCAAACUCUUGCGUAACUUUGCAAUCUGAGUAAACUUAAUUAAUGAAUUAAAACUUUUAACAACGGAUCUCUUGGUUCUG
RNAcentral lists this unclassified non-coding RNA (217 nucleotides) under plant metagenome. RNAcentral describes it as "partial contains small subunit ribosomal RNA, internal transcribed spacer 1, and 5.8S ribosomal RNA". The record is from RNAcentral.